Molecule: long non-coding RNA, 511 nt
Filed under: Salvia miltiorrhiza (redroot sage)
Lineage: Eukaryota; Viridiplantae; Streptophyta; Magnoliopsida; Lamiales; Lamiaceae
Description: long non-coding RNA (SMIL_LNC002438)
Source: RNAcentral
UCGCCUCUCACACACAGACGCACGCACCCAGCGUCGCCAGCAGCCCCGCUCAGCCCUCUCUCCCUCUUCUCUCUCAACUGGCGGCAGCAGGCGCAGCCGCCGCGGAGCGCCGCCGCCUCCGGCGUCCUCGUGGCAGAUCCGCCGUCGCCUCCUUCUGAAAAUCCAGCGGACGACGGCAGCGGCUUCACGCCACCACCACCGGCGUCCUAGCCCCCAACUCUCUCUCUCUCCCUCUCCAACUUCGGUCGGGCAGCAGCAGAAGAAGCGGACUGCCGCCGCACCCUCCACCUCCCUUUCGAUCUCCGGCGAACGCGCCUCCGCGUCGCCUCCAGUCGAUGAAGGACGCCGCCUUCACCGGCUCCCUCACAACCCUGCCGUCGCCUCACUCCGAAGUCCGACGGCCGCAGCAGUUAGCCGAGCUAACCACCGUCACCCCCUUAGCUCCUGCCUCCCUCUCUCUCUUCGUCCUCGGUCCUACAGCAGCGGGCAGAGCCGCCGUGCCGCGGCCUCC